UCGAGCGCGAAAGGGGCAACCCGAGUAGAGCGGCAAACGGGUGAGUAACGCGUGGGUAAUCUGCCUUCGAGUGGGGAACAACACCGGGAAACUGGUGCUAAUACCGCAUGACAUCGUGGGGCCUUCGGGUCUGACGAUCAAAGCCGGGGACCGCAAGGCCUGGCGCUUGAAGAGGGGCCCGCGUCCGAUUAGCUAGUUGGUGGGGUAAUGGCCCACCAAGGCUACGAUCGGUAGCCGGCCUGAGAGGGCGGACGGCCACACUGGGACUGAGACACGGCCCAGACUCCUACGGGAGGCAGCAGUGGGGAAUUGUUCGCAAUGGGCGCAAGCCUGACGACGCAACGCCGCGUGGAGGAUGAAGAUCUUCGGGUCGUAAACUCCUUUCGAUCGAGACGAAUUCCUCUGGGGUGAACAAUCCCGGAGGUUGACGGUACCGAGAGAAGAAGCCCCGGCUAACUCCGUGCCAGCAGCCGCGGUAAUACGGGGGGGGCAAGCGUUGUUCGGAAUUACUGGGCGUAAAGGGCUCGUAGGUGGCCAACUAAGUCGGACGUGAAAUCCCUCGGCUUAACCGGGGAACUGCGUCCGAUACUGGUUGGCUUGAGUUUGGGAGAGGGAUGCGGAAUUCCAGGUGUAGCGGUGAAAUGCGUAGAUAUCUGGAGGAACACGGGUGGCGAAGGCGGCAUCCUGGACCAAUACUGACGCUGAGGAGCGAAAGCCAGGGGAGCAAACGGGAUUAGAUACCCCGGUAGUCCUGGCCCU
Molecule: ribosomal RNA, 759 nt
Filed under: uncultured bacterium
Lineage: Bacteria
Description: bacterial SSU rRNA
Rfam family: Bacterial small subunit ribosomal RNA
Source: RNAcentral